Molecule: ribosomal RNA, 484 nt
Filed under: uncultured bacterium
Lineage: Bacteria
Description: partial 16S ribosomal RNA
Rfam family: Bacterial small subunit ribosomal RNA
Source: RNAcentral
AUUGAACGCUGGCGGCAUGCUUUACACAUGCAAGUCGAACGGCAGCGCGGGCUUCGGCCUGGCGGCGAGUGGCGAACGGGUGAGUAAUGCAUCGGAACGUGCCCAGUAGUGGGGGAUAGCCCGGCGAAAGCCGGAUUAAUACCGCAUACGACCUGCGGGUGAAAGCGGGGGACCGAAAGGCCUCGCGCUAUUGGAGCGGCCGAUGUCGGAUUAGCUAGUUGGUGGGGUAAAGGCUUACCAAGGCGACGAUCCGUAGCUGGUCUGAGAGGACGGCCAGCCACACUAGGACGGAGACACGGCCCAGGCUCCUACGGGAGGCAGCAGUGGGGAAUUUUGGGCAAUGGGGGCAACCCUGAUCCAGCCAUGCCGCGUGCGGGAAGAAGGCCUUCGGGUUGUAAACCGCUUUUGUUCGGGAAGAAAUCCUCUGGGCUAAUACCCCGGGGGGAUGACGGUACCGGAAGAAUAAGCACCGGCUAACUACGUG